UGAUUGGAUAUGGUAUUGUGCGGUCACGAGUAUCAGCUUGUACAGAACUGCGGAAUGCUUUAUUUUCGAAAGUUACCUGGAGAGCCAUCCGUUCAGUCUCCAGGAUGGUGUUUUCUCACUUGCAUGAGCUUGAUCUUCGUUAUCAUCUAUGGUAUCUGUGAAUGCUCUGGUUCAUGCCAUCAUGU
Molecule: long non-coding RNA, 185 nt
Organism: Hordeum vulgare subsp. vulgare (domesticated barley)
Lineage: Eukaryota; Viridiplantae; Streptophyta; Magnoliopsida; Poales; Poaceae
Exons: 3
Source: RefSeq, a predicted model, not a curated record